GCGCCGUGAACUCCCACGUGCCCGGUUCCUCGGCCAGCGCCUGCCCGCCGAAGAACCCGCCAUCGGCCAGCACGCCGCGCCGGGACUCAUCGCCGUACGCGCCAGGGGCGAGCUUCUCCACCUUGCCGCGGGCGAUCAGGUGGACCUCGUCGAGUGUCCGACCCCGCUCGGCGAUCACCUGGCCGGCUGCAUACUCCCGUCGUUCGCACCGGUCUGCCAGCGCCCGCAGCACCCCGGCGUCGUCGUACCCGCGCAGCAGCGGCAGUUCGCCCAGCUCGGCGGGGAUGACCUUGACCGCCGCCCCUUCCUGGACGAACGUCACGCGGCCGUCGCCGACCUCGUACGCCAGCCGCCGGUUGACCCGGUACGUGCCGCCUUUGACCUCCACCCAAGGCAGCGUCCGCAGCAGCCACCGCGAGCUGAGGCCCUGCAUCUGCGGCACGGUCUUGGUGGUGGUCGCCAGGUUCCGGGCAGCGGCGAUACCCAGGCUGAGCUGCUCGCGGCCU
This 506-nucleotide antisense RNA is filed under the name Streptomyces chattanoogensis. RNAcentral describes it as "Saccharopolyspora sRNA 350". It matches the Rfam family "Saccharopolyspora sRNA 350". Lineage: Bacteria; Bacillati; Actinomycetota; Actinomycetes; Kitasatosporales; Streptomycetaceae. The record is from Rfam by way of RNAcentral.